AAAAAUUUAGGAUUAGUUUCUUUCUGCCCCCUAAUAAUAAAAAUAUUUUUAGGUCCUCUAUCAUUAAUUCAAAAACACUUACGUUCUCUCUUUUUCUAUCCUAAAUAAGUAAAAAAUUAGAAACUAACAUAAGCUAACAUUCAAAUCGAAACUAACUAAACGGUUCCCGUUGAAUACAACGGACGUGAGGGGUGCUAAUACCUUCCCCUUGCGUAACCGAAUCCCGAACCCAG
Molecule: long non-coding RNA, 233 nt
Filed under: Lathyrus oleraceus (garden pea)
Lineage: Eukaryota; Viridiplantae; Streptophyta; Magnoliopsida; Fabales; Fabaceae
Description: Pisum sativum (pea) long non-coding RNA (PSAT_LNC028512)
Source: RNAcentral